RNAcentral lists this ribosomal RNA (358 nucleotides) under Pintomyia fischeri. RNAcentral describes it as "partial 12S ribosomal RNA". The record is from RNAcentral. Lineage: Eukaryota; Metazoa; Arthropoda; Insecta; Diptera; Psychodidae.
AUUAUUAAAAUAUAAAAAAUAUUUUAGAUUAGUAGUAAAUAUGUUUAUGAAAUUAAAAUAAUUUGGCGGUAUUUUAGUCUAUUCAGAGGAAUUUGUUUUAUAAUCGAUAUCCCCCGUUAAAUCUUACUUAUUUUAUUUAAUUUGUAUAUCGUUGUCAUUAGAAUAUUUUAUAAGAAUAAUAAUUUUCUAAAAUUAUAUAAAAUUUUAUGUCAAAUCAAGGUGCAGUUUAUAUAUAAGUAAAAAUGAGUUAUAUUAAUAUUUAAUUAAAUGGAUUAAAAAUUGAAAUAUUUUUAUAAAGGUAGAUUUGAUAGUAAAUUUUAAAAGAGUAUAAAAUUGAUUAUAGCUCUAAAAUAUGUAC